CUGCUCCCCUCCUGUCCUGCCCACACUACACAUUGGAUGAAUUUGCCAUAGAGAAAUGAAAGGAUGGUGUAAGACCAUAUAUAUUGUUCCAGUGGUGACAGUGAACCGUGGCCCUUCCGGUAGAAGCAGGGCUGCGUACCAUGUUUCCGUCCCGCCCUGUGCCAGUGGAACCGUUGCCUCUUCCUAAGAUGAGUUUGACUGGAGGAGUGUUGGCUUGGUGUAUAGACCAGCUGGUUUCCCUUGAAAGCAAGUAUGAAAUGAAAGAAAGGAAAUGUGUCUCCCCUCAGAGCAAGAGUUUUCAGGUGAGAA
Long non-coding RNA from Eptesicus fuscus (big brown bat), 309 nucleotides. RefSeq lists it as uncharacterized. The record is from RefSeq and is a predicted model, not a curated record. NCBI's taxonomy places the organism in Eukaryota, Metazoa, Chordata, Mammalia, Chiroptera, Vespertilionidae. The transcript has 3 exons.